RNAcentral lists this ribosomal RNA (505 nucleotides) under Pseudo-nitzschia sp. 1 MLR-2013. RNAcentral's name for it is "eukaryotic LSU rRNA". It matches the Rfam family "Eukaryotic large subunit ribosomal RNA", at positions 182 to 763 of the family's 3401-position model. The record is from RNAcentral. Lineage: Eukaryota; Bacillariophyta; Bacillariophyceae; Bacillariales; Bacillariaceae.
CAAGUUCCUUGGAAAAGGACAGCUGAGAGGGUGAGACUCCCGUCCGCCUGGUAGAGUGAGUCAUGUGUCAACGAGUCGAGUUGUUUGGGAUUGCAGCUCUAAUUUGGUGGUAAAUUCCAUCUAAAGCUAAAUAUUGGUGGGAGACCGAUAGCGUACAAGUACCGUGAGGGAAAGAUGCAAAGAACUUUGAAAAGAGAGUUAAAGAGUACCUGAAAUUGCUGAAACGGAAGCGAAGGAAACCAGUGUUUGUUGGUUCAUAUUUCCCUGGCCACUUGUGGUUUGGGCGCUGUGAGCUUGCGUGUGUUUGUCUUGGUUGAUCCCUUUGGAAGAGCGCAGUCAGAGUUGAUGUCUGUUGCUAGCACUGGGUUUGACUGAUGCAGACGAAAUGGUUUUCUUUACCCCGUCUUGAAACACGGACCAAGGAGUCUAACAUAUGUGCGAGUACAGGGGUGUCAAACCCCGGUGCGUAAUGAAAGUGACAGUGGUUGGAUAUUUUGCACAAUCC